RNAcentral lists this ribosomal RNA (490 nucleotides) under uncultured bacterium. Its description in RNAcentral is "partial 16S ribosomal RNA". It matches the Rfam family "Bacterial small subunit ribosomal RNA", at positions 28 to 507 of the family's 1533-position model. The record is from RNAcentral.
GAUGAACGCUAGCUACAGGCUUAACACAUGCAAGUCGAGGGGCAGCGGGAUUGAAGCUUGCUUCAAUUGCCGGCGACCGGCGCACGGGUGAGUAACGCGUAUCCAACCUUCCGUACACUCAGGGAUAGCCUUUCGAAAGAAAGAUUAAUACCUGAUGGCAUGAUGAGAUUGCAUGAUAUCAUCAUUAAAGAUUUAUCGGUGUACGAUGGGGAUGCGUUCCAUUAGGUAGUAGGCGGGGUAACGGCCCACCUAGCCAACGAUGGAUAGGGGUUCUGAGAGGAAGGUCCCCCACAUUGGAACUGAGACACGGUCCAAACUCCUACGGGAGGCAGCAGUGAGGAAUAUUGGUCAAUGGACGAGAGUCUGAACCAGCCAAGUAGCGUGAAGGAUGAAGGUCCUACGGAUUGUAAACUUCUUUUAUAAGGGAAUAAACCCUCCCACGUGUGGGAGCUUGUAUGUACCUUAUGAAUAAGCAUCGGCUAACUCCGUG